UACGUAGGGUGCAAGCGUUGUCCGGAAUUAUUGGGCGUAAAGAGCUCGUAGGCGGUUUGUCGCGUCUGCUGUGAAAACUCGGGGCUUAGCCCCGGGCCUGCAGUGGGUACGGGCAGGCUAGAGUGCGGUAGGGGAGACUGGAAUUCCUGGUGUAGCGGUGAAAUGCGCAGAUAUCAGGAGGAACACCGGUGGCGAAGGCAGCUCGCUGGGACGUAACUGACGCUGAGACGCGAAAGCGUGGGGAGCAAACAGG
This 253-nucleotide ribosomal RNA is filed under the name uncultured bacterium. Its description in RNAcentral is "partial 16S ribosomal RNA". It matches the Rfam family "Bacterial small subunit ribosomal RNA", at positions 524 to 776 of the family's 1533-position model. The record is from RNAcentral.